CCGUGCAUUAAUCUGCUUCAGCUAUUUGAUGUUCUGCAUGUGAAUGUGGAAAUAUCUUCAUCAGCCGAGGUAGUCAAUAGGGAUGUUGGGAUGCCACGAAGGUCCAGAGGAAAGGUUACAGGAGGUCAUGUAGAACGACUUUCUGUGACAGCGGCCUCAGAUCCCCCUCCUCUCUAGACACGGCCACGCUAAACAAUAGCCAGCAAGGAAAUUAAACACAAACAAAGUCCCCGUGGCAACUCCAGCGUCACCACAGCAGAUUCUCUCAUCACCACGGAUACUGAAACUUCAAAGAAGAUGACCUCACACUCAGACAUCAACACAGCCUUGUUAUACACUUACAAUGGACCACAGGAGAACAAUGACUUUUAAUGUGUUGAAUAUGUUUUAAAGGCGGACUGAAAAGAGGCGUAAUCUCCAAGGGAAAAUGGUGCAAAAGCAGAGAGAAGAUUUAAGUAAAUGACUAUGUCAGCCUCUAUUUAUUUGUUACAUGACUGCCGGAGGCAGAGCCUGAGGGUAACCAUUAGGACUUGGACCAUAAAGGAGUCAAAUGCAGAGCUAUUGCUGAAAAUGGAUAUUAAGUAAGCAGUCGGACAUGGAAAGGAUAUGACUCCCUCUUCUGUCUUGAGGCCAAUAGAGGAAGAAGGCUGCCCGGUUUACUCACUACAGAUAGAGUGAGGGCGCAAAAAGGCGUUUGAGGAGAUUAUGCUAAAAAAGCGACCGGGUGAAAGGGGUGGAGCAGAGACACAAACAAAGACUGAAGAGA
Long non-coding RNA from Cyprinus carpio (common carp), 766 nucleotides. NCBI's taxonomy places the organism in Eukaryota, Metazoa, Chordata, Actinopteri, Cypriniformes, Cyprinidae. The record is from Ensembl.